This 278-nucleotide ribosomal RNA is filed under the name Campylobacter jejuni. Its description in RNAcentral is "partial 23S ribosomal RNA". It matches the Rfam family "Bacterial large subunit ribosomal RNA", at positions 1 to 297 of the family's 2925-position model. The record is from RNAcentral. Lineage: Bacteria; Pseudomonadati; Campylobacterota; Epsilonproteobacteria; Campylobacterales; Campylobacteraceae.
AAAGGUAAGCUACUAAGAGCGAAUGGUGGAUGCCUUGACUGGUAAAGGCGAUGAAGGACGUACUAGACUGCGAUAAGCUACGGGGAGCUGUCAAGAAGCUUUGAUCCGUAGAUUUCCGAAUGGGGCAACCCAAUGUAUAGAGAUAUACAUUACCUAUAUAGGAGCGAACGAGGGGAAUUGAAACAUCUUAGUACCCUCAGGAAAAGAAAUCAAUAGAGAUUGCGUCAGUAGCGGCGAGCGAAAGCGCAAGAGGGCAAACCCAGUGCUUGCACUGGGGG